This 440-nucleotide ribosomal RNA is filed under the name uncultured bacterium. RNAcentral's name for it is "partial 16S ribosomal RNA". It matches the Rfam family "Bacterial small subunit ribosomal RNA", at positions 338 to 795 of the family's 1533-position model. The record is from RNAcentral.
CCUACGGGUGGCAGCAGUGGGGAAUAUUGCACAAUGGGGGGAACCCUGAUGCAGCGACGCCGCGUGGGUGAGGAAGUACUUCGGUAUGUAAAGCCCUAUCAGCAGGGAAGUAAAUGACGGUACCUGACUAAGAAUCCCCGGCUAACUUCGUGCCAGCAGCCGCGGUAAUACGUAGGGUGCAAGCGUUAUCCGGAUUUACUGGGUGUAAAGGGAGCGUAGAGGGGGUGCCAAGUCUGUUGUGAAAGGUUGGGGCUCAACCUCGAGACUGCAUUGGCAACUGGCAGGCUGGAGUACCGUAGAGGCAAGCGGAAUUCCUGGUGUAGCGGUGAAAUGCGUAGAUAUUAGGAAGAACACCGAUGGCGAAGGCAGCUUGCUGGACGGUAACUGACAUUGAGGCUCGAAAGCGUGGGGAGCAAACAGGAUUAGAUACCCCUGUAGUC